AGGAAUCAUCUGAGAGUCCUGUUAAAAAGCAGACUCUGAAUCUGUAGGUCUGGAGUGAGACCUGAGAAUCUGUGUUUCUAACAGUCCCCAGAAGAGGUAGGA
Molecule: microRNA precursor, 102 nt
Filed under: Marmota monax (woodchuck)
Lineage: Eukaryota; Metazoa; Chordata; Mammalia; Rodentia; Sciuridae
Source: RNAcentral